CAGACCAGUAGCAAAGGGGGCCGGCCAAUAAUGGAUUGGAAUCUCUUAAACUUGAGCCCUUCGGGACAUCUGUAGGUCAGCUCUUGUUGGUGAAUUGAGUACAGCGGAAGCACCUGCACUUUGGAAAUAACUCAAGAUUAUGUGUAUCAAAAGAAGUCAAGCAGCAAAGUUUCUCACCCAUAAACAAAUAAACAGAAAUACUUUUUGGAGUAUUGACUGCAUCAGCAUACGCCAUGGACACAUCCAGAGAACCUAGUAAUACAGUGUGACACUGUGUGUUGGUACUUCCAGGAAGCACGGUGGUGCUACGAGGGGAGGCAGACCCAGUUGUGCACCUUGACCUUGGAAUAUCUGCCUGCAAGUUUACUUUCCAACCAAGCCAAAAAUCAACAACAGCUUCAACAGCAGCAACAACAAUGACACGUAGCUUCUCAAAGGAAAUAUAACCAUCUGCAUUCCACAGAGGAGCUUUCAGGGGCUUCAAAAUUUCAGACCUCCAAAUUUCGUCUGGGCCCUCAGUAUGGUGUCCAGUUUCCUAUUUUCAUGCUUUAAACCAAAAUGUGCCAAUGAACAAUUCCAAAGAACAAAAAGUAGUCUUUCCUAGACUAAUUAAGUGGAAAACGUGGAAAAAAAGGCACUCAUGCAUGAGAAAGAAAAAGAGAGAGAGGAGAUAGAAAAUUCAGCUAAUAGAAAAGACCUUCUUGAAAUUUAAUAGAAAAUAUGCAAUAACAAA
RNAcentral lists this long non-coding RNA (733 nucleotides) under Heterocephalus glaber (naked mole-rat). RNAcentral's name for it is "lncRNA (ENSHGLG00100040799.1)". Lineage: Eukaryota; Metazoa; Chordata; Mammalia; Rodentia; Bathyergidae. The record is from RNAcentral.